Molecule: non-coding RNA, 247 nt
Organism: Electrophorus electricus (electric eel)
Lineage: Eukaryota; Metazoa; Chordata; Actinopteri; Gymnotiformes; Gymnotidae
Source: RefSeq, a predicted model, not a curated record
CUGGCUUCAUCAAGGGAUUUGAACCAGGUAUCAGGAGGUUGAACUGGGAUCAGUGAAAGAAGGCAAUUUAUCUUGGGGAUGAUGACUAGAGAGAAGAGUACAACUAACAGUGGCAGUACUCAAUUGCUGGGGGAUGCUGGAAACUGACUGUGAUGUUCUAAAAGAGCUCAUGUUCCAACACAAUCCAGGCCAAUUGGGUUUGGACAUCCGAGAUCUCUACACCAAGUGGGCAGCGGGCAGUCUCCUG